CCUACGGGAGGCAGCAGUGGGGAAUUUUGGACAAUGGGCGCAAGCCUGAUCCAGCAAUGCCGCGUGCAGGAUGAAGGCCUUCGGGUUGUAAACUGCUUUUGUACGGAACGAAAAGGUCUGCCUUAAUACGGUGGGCCCAUGACGGUACCGUAAGAAUAAGCACCGGCUAACUACGUGCCAGCAGCCGCGGUAAUACGUAGGGUGCGAGCGUUAAUCGGAAUUACUGGGCGUAAAGCGUGCGCAGGCGGUUAUAUAAGACAGAUGUGAAAUCCCCGGGCUCAACCUGGGACCUGCAUUUGUGACUGUAUAGCUAGAGUACGGUAGAGGGGGAUGGAAUUCCGCGUGUAGCAGUGAAAUGCGUAGAUAUGCGGAGGAACACCGAUGGCGAAGGCAAUCCCCUGGACCUGUACUGACGCUCAUGCACGAAAGCGUGGGGAGCAAACAGGAUUAGAUACCCUGGUAGUCCACGCCCUAAACGAUGUCAACUGGUUGUUGGGUCUUCACUGACUCAGUAACGAAGCUAACGCGUGAAGUUGACCGCCUGGGGAGUACGGCCGCAAGGUUGAAACUCAAAUGAAAUUGACGGCUGAGAGNGCGACGGACGACGACGAGGGGAGGAGG
Molecule: ribosomal RNA, 621 nt
Filed under: uncultured bacterium
Lineage: Bacteria
Description: bacterial SSU rRNA
Rfam family: Bacterial small subunit ribosomal RNA
Source: RNAcentral